RNAcentral lists this ribosomal RNA (351 nucleotides) under uncultured Sphingobacteriales bacterium. Its description in RNAcentral is "bacterial SSU rRNA". It matches the Rfam family "Bacterial small subunit ribosomal RNA", at positions 1034 to 1382 of the family's 1533-position model. The record is from RNAcentral. Lineage: Bacteria; Pseudomonadati; Bacteroidota; Sphingobacteriia; Sphingobacteriales.
CAAGGUGCUGCAUGGUUGUCGUCAGCUCGUGCCGUGAGGUGUCGGGUUAAGUCCCCAUAACGAGCGCAACCCUUACCGUUAGUUACCAUCAGGUUAAGCUGGGGACGUCUAGCGGGACUGCCACCGUAAGGUGAGAGGAAGGUGGGGAUGACGUCAAAUCAGCACGGCCCUUAUGUCCAGGGCUACACACGUGUUACAAUGGCCGGUACAAAGGCAGCUACUUCGCGAGAAGAUGCUAAUCUCGAAAGCCGGUCUCAGUUCGGAUCGAAGUCUGCAACCCGACUUCGUGAAGCUGGAUUCGCUAGUUAAUCGCGCAUCAGCCAUGGCGCGGUGAAUACGUUCCCGGGCCUU